GACGAACGCUGGCGGCAUGCCUAACACAUGCAAGUCGAACGGAGCCAAUCAGAUGAUCCCUUCGGGGUGAAUUUGAGGAAGCUUAGUGGCGGACGGGUGAGUAACGCGUGAGUAACCUGCCUUUCAGAGGGGGAUAACGUUCCGAAAGGAACGCUAAUACCGCAUAACGUAUUUUUACCGCAUGAUAGAAAUACCAAAGAUUUAUCGCUGAAAGAUGGACUCGCGUCUGAUUAGCUAGUUGGAGGGUAACGGCCCACCAAGGCGACGAUCAGUAGCCGAACUGAGAGGUUGAUCGGCCACAUUGGGACUGAGACACGGCCCAGACUCCUACGGGAGGCAGCAGUGGGGGAUAUUGCGCAAUGGGGGAAACCCUGACGCAGCAAUGCCGCGUGAAGGAAGAAGGUCUUCGGAUCGUAAACUUUUGUCUUCAGGGACGAAACAAGACGGUACCUGAGGAGGAAGCCACGGCUAACUACGUG
Molecule: ribosomal RNA, 479 nt
Filed under: uncultured bacterium
Lineage: Bacteria
Description: bacterial SSU rRNA
Rfam family: Bacterial small subunit ribosomal RNA
Source: RNAcentral